UCGAGCGGAAACGACUUAACUGAACCUUCGGGGAACGUUAAGGGCGUCUAGCGGCGGACGGGCGAUUAAUGCCUGGGAAUAUGCCUUAGUGCGGGGGAUAACUAUUGGAAACGAUAGCUAAUACCGCAUAAUGUCUUCGGACCAAAGAGGGGGACCUUCGGGCCUCUCGCGCUAAGAUUAGCCCAGGUGAGAUUAGCUAGUUGGUGAGGUAAGAGCUCACCAAGGCGACUAUCUCUAGCUGGUCUGAGAGGAUGAUCAGCCACACUGGAACUGAGACACGGUCCAGACUCCUACGGGAGGCAGCUAGUGGGGAAUAUUGCACAAUGGGCGAAAGCCUGAUGCAACCAUGCCGCGUGUAUGAAGAAGGCCUUCGGGUUGUAAAGUACUUUCAGUAGGGAGGAAGGUGUUGUAGUUAAUAGCUGCAGCAUUUGACGUUACCUACAGAAGAAGCCCGGCUAACUCCGUGCCAGCAGCCGCGGUAAUACGGAGGGUGCGAGCGUUAAUCGGAAUUACUGGGCGUAAAGCGCAUGCAGGUGGUUCAUUAAGUCAGAUGUGAAAGCCCGGGGCUCAACCUCGGAACCGCAUUUGAAACUGGUGAACUAGAGUGCUGUAGAGGGGGGUAGAAUUUCAGGUGUAGCGGUGAAAUGCGUAGAGAUCUGAAGGAAUACCAGUGGCGAAGGCGGCCCCCUGGACAGACACUGACACUCAGAU
RNAcentral lists this ribosomal RNA (711 nucleotides) under Vibrio sp. J462. RNAcentral describes it as "bacterial SSU rRNA". It matches the Rfam family "Bacterial small subunit ribosomal RNA", at positions 62 to 752 of the family's 1533-position model. Lineage: Bacteria; Pseudomonadati; Pseudomonadota; Gammaproteobacteria; Vibrionales; Vibrionaceae. The record is from RNAcentral.